Long non-coding RNA from Amblyraja radiata (thorny skate), 276 nucleotides. RefSeq lists it as uncharacterized. The record is from RefSeq and is a predicted model, not a curated record. Lineage: Eukaryota; Metazoa; Chordata; Chondrichthyes; Rajiformes; Rajidae. The transcript is spliced from 3 exons.
CCCGACAUUUGCAAUAAUGUUGCUGUCAUAGCUCCUGGCAGACAGGAGCAAAGAUUAAAGGAGAUGUGGGGGGCAGCUUUUUUACAAAGAAAGUGCCUGAAAUACGCAGAAACACACCACAGGUAUUGGUGGAAGCAGAUACGAUAGUGACAUUUAGGAGACUUUUGGAUAGGCAUAUGGAUACGCAGGGAAUGGGGAGUAUGGAUGACAUGCACGUAGAGGAGGUUAGUUUAACUUGGCAUCAUGUUCGGCCGGGACAUUGUGGGUUGAAGGAUC